GACGGCAGCACAGGAGAGCUUGCUCUCUGGGUGGCGAGUGGCGGACGGGUGAGGAAUACAUCGGAAUCUACUCUGUCGUGGGGGAUAACGUAGGGAAACUUACGCUAAUACCGCAUACGACCUACGGGUGAAAGCAGGGGAUCUUCGGACCUUGCGCGAUUGAAUGAGCCGAUGUCGGAUUAGCUAGUUGGCGGGGUAAAGGCCCACCAAGGCGACGAUCCGUAGCUGGUCUGAGAGGAUGAUCAGCCACACUGGAACUGAGACACGGUCCAGACUCCUACGGGAGGCAGCAGUGGGGAAUAUUGGACAAUGGGCGCAAGCCUGAUCCAGCCAUACCGCGUGGGUGAAGAAGGCCUUCGGGUUGUAAAGCCCUUUUGUUGGGAAAGAAAUCCAGCCGGCUAAUACCUGGUUGGGAUGACGGUACCCAAAGAAUAAGCACCGGCUAACUUCGUGCCAGCAGUCGCGGUAAUACGAAGGGUGCAAGCGUUACUCGGAAUUACUGGGCGUAAAGCGUGCGUAGGUGGUCGUUUAAGUCCGUUGUGAAAGCCCUGGGCUCAACCUGGGAACUGCAGUGGAUACUGGGCGACUAGAGUGUGGUAGAGGGUAGCGGAAUUCCUGGUGUAGCAGUGAAAUGCGUAGAGAUCAGGAGGAACAUCCAUGGCGAAGCAGCUACCUGGACCAACACUGACACUGAGCACGAAAGCGUGGGGGAGCAAACAGGAUUAGAUACCCUGUAGUCCACGCCCUAACGAUGCGAACUGGAAUGUUGGGUGCAUUUGGCACGCAGUA
This 789-nucleotide ribosomal RNA is filed under the name uncultured bacterium. RNAcentral's name for it is "bacterial SSU rRNA". It matches the Rfam family "Bacterial small subunit ribosomal RNA", at positions 65 to 845 of the family's 1533-position model. The record is from RNAcentral.